UACGUAGGGUGCAAGCGUUGCCCGGAUUUAUUGGGCGUGAAGGGCGCGUAGGCGGCUCGGCACGUCCGUUGUGAAAUCGCCCGGCUCAACUGGGCGGGGUCAGCGGAUACGGCCGAGCUUGAGCAAGCUAGGGGGCAAUGGAAUUCCCGGUGUAGUGGUGGAAUGCGUAGAUAUCGGGAGGAACACCAGUGGCGAAGGCGGUUGCCUGGAGCUUUGCUGACGCUGAUGCGCGAAAGCGUGGGGAGCGAUCCGG
RNAcentral lists this ribosomal RNA (253 nucleotides) under uncultured bacterium. Its description in RNAcentral is "partial 16S ribosomal RNA". It matches the Rfam family "Bacterial small subunit ribosomal RNA", at positions 524 to 776 of the family's 1533-position model. The record is from RNAcentral.